Molecule: non-coding RNA, 21 nt
Filed under: Caenorhabditis elegans
Lineage: Eukaryota; Metazoa; Nematoda; Chromadorea; Rhabditida; Rhabditidae
Source: RNAcentral
UUUGUGGGGCUUCAAAUGGCA